GCCCCCUUGGCGGAACGGUAGACGCUGGAGACUUAAAAUCUUCUGCCUUCGGGCGUGCCGGUUCGAGCCCGGCAGGGGGCACCA
This 84-nucleotide transfer RNA is filed under the name Paracoccaceae bacterium. Its description in RNAcentral is "Rhodobacteraceae bacterium (freshwater metagenome) tRNA-Leu". It matches the Rfam family "tRNA". Rfam says of the family: Transfer RNA (tRNA) molecules are approximately 80 nucleotides in length. Their secondary structure includes four short double-helical elements and three loops (D, anti-codon, and T loops). The record is from RNAcentral. Lineage: Bacteria; Pseudomonadati; Pseudomonadota; Alphaproteobacteria; Rhodobacterales; Paracoccaceae. RNAcentral also lists the same sequence under 1 other name.